RNAcentral lists this ribosomal RNA (582 nucleotides) under uncultured Glomeromycotina. RNAcentral's name for it is "LSU rRNA". It matches the Rfam family "Eukaryotic large subunit ribosomal RNA", at positions 204 to 637 of the family's 3401-position model. The record is from RNAcentral. Lineage: Eukaryota; Fungi; Glomeromycota.
CAUGGAGGGUGAGAAUCCCGUCCGGUUGACCACAGGAUGUUUUACGUUACGCUCUCUAAGAGUCGAGUUGUUUGGGAUUGCAGCUCAAAAUGGGAGGUAAAUUUCUCCUAAGGCUAAAUAACGGCGAGAGACCGAUAGCGAACAAGUACCGUGAGGGAAAGAUGAAAAGAACUUUGAAAAGAGAGUUAAAUAGUACGUGAAAUUGUUGAAAGGGAAACGAUUGAAGCCAGUCGUACUGGCGGGCAAUCAGCCUUUUGGGUGUGAUUAUGUGGAGCGUGAGGAGCUAAUCACCUUCAUGCCUGCAUAUUCGUGCACUUUGGGUGUACUUGCUCGUGUGGUAGGUUAACAUCAAUUUUGAUCGUCAUAAAAUGGUUGGAGGAAUGUAGCUUCGAUCUCGUAUUGAAGUGUUAUAGCCUUCGGUAGAUGUGAUGAUCGGGAUUGAGGAUUGCAACGGAUACCCUUCGGGGCUACCUGUCUGAUCUCUGAUCGUUGCUUUGGUGCCGAAAGCUUGCUUACGGUUAUCAAAGUCGAUGGUCAACAGGUUAGGACGGGUUAAAUUCGUUAAGGAUGUUGACGUAAUGG